AGAGUUUGAUCAUGGCUCAGGUUGAACGCUAGCGGUGCGCCUAAUACAUGCAAGUCGAGCGAGGCUUCGAGCCGAGCGGCGGACGGCUGAGUAACACGUUGGUACCUACCCCAUACUCAGGGAUAACACAGAGAAAUUUGUGCUAAUACCGGAUAGUCCCGCAAGGGUAAAGAUUUAUCGGUAUGGGAGGGGCCUGCGGCUUAUCAGGUAGUUGGUAGUGUAAUGGACUACCAAGCCUAUGACGAGUAGCUGGUGUGAGAGCAUGACCAGCCAGAAUGGAACUGAGACACGGUCCAUACUCCUACGGGAGGCAGCAGUAAGGAAUAUUCCGCAAUGGACGAAAGUCUGACGGAGCGACACCGCGUGGAGGACGACACCUUUCGGGGCGUAAACUCCUUUUCUGAGUGAAUAAGUUCUGAAAUUAACUCAGGAAUAAGUGACGGCUAACUACGUGCCAGCAGCCGCGGUAAUACGUAGGUCGCAAGCGUUAACCGGAAUUAUUGGGCGUAAAGGGUCCGUAGCCGGAAGAGAAAGUCUGAUGUUAAAACACGGUGCUCAACACCGUGAUCGUAUCGGAAACUUCUUAUCUAGAGUUAUUCAGAGGUGCGUGGAAUUUCUUGUGUAGGGGUAAAAUCCGUAGAUACAAGAAGGAACACCAAAAGCGAAGGCAGCGCACUGGGGAUAUACUGACGGUCAGGGACGAAAGCGUGGGGAGCAAAGAGGAUUAGGUACCCUCGUAGUCCACGCCCUAAA
RNAcentral lists this ribosomal RNA (753 nucleotides) under uncultured bacterium. RNAcentral's name for it is "bacterial SSU rRNA". It matches the Rfam family "Bacterial small subunit ribosomal RNA", at positions 8 to 806 of the family's 1533-position model. The record is from RNAcentral.